CGAAGGUGUUACCAAGGAGUUAACAGUUUUUACUGCACCAGACACAAGGUCCUUUAAGUUGGCUUCCCCUACCCAGUGUGCACAGGCUGAACCAGUUAAGUGACAACCCGUGGCUCUCAGGAUGUUCAUUUCCAUGGGGGAAGUUCCUUUCUUCUGUUUCUGCUGUCAAGGAGAAGUUUGCUGAUGAAAACUGGACCACAGAACCCUCAGACACCUAGAGGAAAGAGAAUUGCGUAUUUAACAUGGUGCAGUCACCGGAGCUGAAUCAUAAUUAGAGAAAGUACUUCUCAAAUCGAAGUGCUUGUAAAUCGAACCUCUUCCCUUUGUUAUACAAGCAGAUCAGCGUUUUUAAGCAGCGGAUUCAAGGAAUAAUCCCAAGCCUAGUCCUCCCAGACAAAGGCAAAACUACCAAUGCAGGAUGUCCCUCUGAACUCUGAAAGAACCUUGUGAGGACGGACUGCAUUGCACAUUGAGUAAUCGUAAGAAUUAUCACUGCUAUUUCCAAGAAAUCUAAAUCGAAGACCAAUCUUACAAUGAAUGUAUUUCAAGUCAAGUGGGAAGCCUUGAUGAAUGUUCUCGUGGGCUUAUAAAAAGCUUCAGGAUCAAGACAAGUGAUCCCAAAGUCCUGCUAGCAACUGAUCACGACUUUCAGGUCUUCCACAGUUGCAGCAUCUGCCAACAGAGUCAUCACAAUAGGGAAACAGCGAGAGUCCUCUUGGUUUAUGUUCACCUCAGCACUGAGAUAAAAAUGGCCAAAGGUUGCCAGCCUUUCUAUCACAUUGCUCUAUUUCAUAAGAGUGAGAUGAAUGUUUGUAACAGUUUAUUGUGUAAGACCCCCAAAUUCCCAUAGAUAAUGAAGUCAAG
Molecule: long non-coding RNA, 864 nt
Filed under: Homo sapiens (human)
Lineage: Eukaryota; Metazoa; Chordata; Mammalia; Primates; Hominidae
Description: HSALNT0010574
Source: RNAcentral